UCAUCCUUUUUGUCAUCCUUCUGAUUCAUCCAUUCCUCUCAAUCUUCUUAUAAAUGCACAUAAAAUUUCACUGCCUUUGUUGUUGAAACAAAACACUAUUCUUGCUCUCUUUUAAUUAAACUUGAGGUAAGGAAAUAAAAAAGAUGGGCAGAUAAAGUAGUUAUUUCAGGAGAUACCUACACAUUAGACUCUAAAGCCUUGGUUCUCAAUAAGGAGCAAUUUUGGCCCCCAGGAGACAUUUGGCAAUAUCUGCACACAUUUUUGGUUGUCAUGACUGGGGGUGGGUGGGUUUCUACGGGAAUCUAGUGACUAGAGGCCACAGAGGCUACAAACUAUUUCACAAUGCACACAGGACAGCUUCUGACCACAAAGAAUUAUCUGAUUCAAAGUGCCAGAAUUGAGAAACACUGCUCUAAAGGAAUACUUAAAAUUGUGAGUACACAUUUUAAAAUAAUGAAACAUAUUAAGUUUAUAAAAUAGGAUUGAGAAAAAUAUGGAUUUACUUAUGCCUACAGCAUGGACUUUACUUUUGACCCGCAAAGUUUGUUUUACGUUGAUGAAUAGCCUGAUGAUAUUUCAUUGUAGUCAGUGUCUUCAUCUACUUGGGCUGCUAUAACAAAAAUGCCAAGGACUGGGUGGCUUAAACAACAGACAUUUAUUUCUCAUAGUUCUGGGGUCUGGGAAGUCCAAAAUCAAGGUGCCAGCAGAUUCAGUCAUAAGUAUGAGACCCUACCUCCAAAUACCUAUACAUUGGGGAUUAGGAUUUCAACAUAUGAAUUUUGGGGGGAAGUAAACAUUCAGCCCAUAACAGUCAACAAAAUAAAUCUGCUUUAAAUCUAGACAAGGACAGACAGUAUCAUAAUUUCAGUGGAAAAAAAAUCUGUAAAUUACAUUAAAUAAGCUUAUUGAAAAAAAUCUCUUUCAAGUGUUAGCACUAUGCUGUUACACUUCAUAAUCCACAUCUCCAUUUUCUUUACACAUGUCCUUGCAUCAUUGAAGGUGUUACGAUACAGAGGAAGAACUUGGCCCGGGAGGCAGAAAACCUGGGCUGCAGUCUGGACUGGGCUAAGCACGUUAAGGUUUUUAGUACAACUGACGUCUUAGAAGGCCCUUCCUUUCCAGGGAAUUCACUAAUCAAGGCAGCCAUUGUAUAGACUUUAUGGACGUGAUUCGUUUCGGUGUUGGUCUUCCCCGGUGGACAGUGAUGGGCUUCACAGGAGGGAAGUGUCUUCAUUUUCACAUCCCCAGUGCCUGGCACAAAGCAGGUACUCAGCAAAGGGUGGUGUGUCAGGUUGAUUUUGUCAGUCACUCCUGACCUCUCACCCUACGGUGGAUGCAUGUUGGUUUGUCACUGUCCCUCUUUAGAAGUGAUCCCAGGAUGAAAAAAACGUUUUCCAGAUUUUAGCCCUUCAGGGUACAGAGUGCCCAUCGGCUCUGGAAACCAGGUUUUCCUCGGCUUUCACUUUCUAAUCUAAAUGUAAGCCUUUAUUUGUAUCCCUGAUAAAUGUAAUCUUGUUUCCUGCAGGAAAAGAUAACUUCAUCUUGUCAGGCCAAAAUGAAAAAUCUCAGUUUUAAUUCUGUCAUAUCUACUCUAUCAACCAGUUUGAUGUCAUCGGUGUAUGGGAGGAUAAUGUGAA
Non-coding RNA from Kogia breviceps (pygmy sperm whale), 1637 nucleotides. The record is from RefSeq and is a predicted model, not a curated record. NCBI's taxonomy places the organism in Eukaryota, Metazoa, Chordata, Mammalia, Artiodactyla, Physeteridae.